Molecule: ribosomal RNA, 207 nt
Filed under: uncultured bacterium
Lineage: Bacteria
Description: partial 16S ribosomal RNA
Rfam family: Bacterial small subunit ribosomal RNA
Source: RNAcentral
CGCGUAGGUGGUUGAUUAAGUUAGCUGUGAAAGCCCCGGGCUCAACCUGGGAAGGCCAGCUAAUACUGAUUGACUAGAGUAUGGUAGAGGACAGUGGAAUUUCCGGUGUAGCGGUGAAAUGCGUAGAUAUCGGAAGGAACAUCAGUGGCGAAGGCGACUGUCUGGACUGAUACUGACACUGAGGCGCGAAAGCGUGGGUAGCGAACA